CCUACGGGAGGCAGCAGUGAGGAAUAUUGGUCAAUGGACGGAAGUCUGAACCAGCCAUGCCGCGUGCAGGAAGACGGCUCUAUGAGUUGUAAACUUCUUUUAUAAAGGAAUAAAACGAGGCACGUGUGCCUUUUUGCAUGUACUUUAUGAAUAAGGAUCGGCUAACUCCGUGCCAGCAGCCGCGGUAAUACGGAGGAUCCGAGCGUUAUCCGGAUUUAUUGGGUUUAAAGGGAGCGUAGAUGGGUUGUUAAGUCAGUUGUGAAAGUUUGCGGCUCAACCGUAAAAUUGCAAUUGAUACUGGCAGUCGUGAGUACAGUUGAGGUAGGCGGAAUUCGUGGUGUAGCGGUGAAAUGCUUAGAUAUCACGAAGAACCCCGAUUGCGAAGGCAGCUUACUAAACUGUGACUGACAUUGAUGCUCGAAAGUGUGGGUAUCAAACAGGAUUAGAUACCCUAGUAGUC
RNAcentral lists this ribosomal RNA (460 nucleotides) under uncultured bacterium. RNAcentral's name for it is "partial 16S ribosomal RNA". It matches the Rfam family "Bacterial small subunit ribosomal RNA", at positions 338 to 795 of the family's 1533-position model. The record is from RNAcentral.